This 468-nucleotide ribosomal RNA is filed under the name uncultured bacterium. RNAcentral describes it as "partial 16S ribosomal RNA". It matches the Rfam family "Bacterial small subunit ribosomal RNA", at positions 28 to 507 of the family's 1533-position model. The record is from RNAcentral.
GACGAACGCUGGCGGCGUGCUUAACACAUGCAAGUCGAACGGAAAGGCCCUGCUUUUGUGGGGUGCUCGAGUGGCGAACGGGUGAGUAACACGUGAGUAACCUGCCCUUGACUUUGGGAUAACUUCAGGAAACUGGGGCUAAUACCGGAUAGGAGCUCCUGCUGCAUGGUGGGGGUUGGAAAGUUUCGGCGGUUGGGGAUAGAUUCGCGGCUUAUCAGCUUGUUGGUGGGGUAGUGGCUUACCAAGGCUUUGACGGGUAGCCGGCCUGAGAGGGUGACCGGCCACAAUGGGACUGAGAGACGGCCCAGUCGCCUACGGGAGGCAGCAGUGGGGAGUAUGGCGCAGUGGGCGGGAGCCUGAGGCGGCAGCGCCGCGUGCGGGAUGACGGCCUUCGGGUUGAAAACCGCUUUCGCCUGUGACGAAGCGUGAGUGACGGUAAUGGGUAAAGAAGCACCGGCUAACUACGUG